RNAcentral lists this ribosomal RNA (301 nucleotides) under uncultured bacterium. RNAcentral describes it as "partial 16S ribosomal RNA". It matches the Rfam family "Bacterial small subunit ribosomal RNA", at positions 509 to 807 of the family's 1533-position model. The record is from RNAcentral.
CAGUCGCCACGGGAAUACAGAGGAUGCAAGCGUUAAUCGGAAUUACUGGGCGUAAAGCGUGCGUAGGCGGUGAGUUAAGUCUGCUGUGAAAUCCCCGGGCUCAACCUGGGAAUGGCAGUGGACACUGGCUCGCUAGAGUGUGUCAGAGGAUGGUGGAAUUCCCGGUGUAGCGGUGAAAUGCGUAGAGAUCGGGAGGAACAUCAGUGGCGAAGGCGGCCAUCUGGGACAACACUGACGCUGAGGCACGAAAGCGUGGGGAGCAAACAGGAUUAGAUACCCGCGUAGUCCCUGUCUCUUAUAC